This 292-nucleotide ribosomal RNA is filed under the name uncultured bacterium. RNAcentral describes it as "partial 16S ribosomal RNA". It matches the Rfam family "Bacterial small subunit ribosomal RNA", at positions 505 to 796 of the family's 1533-position model. The record is from RNAcentral.
GUGCCAGCAGCCGCGGUAAUACGUAGGGGGCGAGCGUUGUCCGGAGUUACUGGGCGUAAAGGGCAUGCAGGCGGUCCGACACGUUUUGUGUGACAGCGGGUGGCUUAACUACCCGAGGAUACGAAAGACGGUAGGACUUGAGGACUCGAGAGGGACACGGAAUUCCGGGUGGAGUGGUGAAAUGCGUAGAGAUCCGGAGGAACACCGAAGGCGAAGGCAGUGUCCUGGCGAGUGACUGACGCUGAGGUGCGAAAGCCAGGGGAGCGAACGGGAUUAGAUACCCCGGUAGUCC